UGCUGAAUUUGAACAGACAUUUUGGGCAACUGUGUUACCAGUCAUGAAUACACAGCUAUCAGGCUAAAUUUGAUGGUAGUAAUCUGUAUACAUACAUCAGGGGUGGAUUUUUUUUUCUUUCUGGGACCGCUAGAGAACAUUGGAAUAAUCAACUACAUCGACACUCGGACGCUUUAACUGUGUGACACUAACAGGUUGUCAAACUGAAUGUUAUGUUUUAACAGAAAAGAAUUAAUUUCAGUGCACUUAGAAUCUUAAUAAUACUUUUAGGAAUAUAACAUAAAACUCAUUUAGAUA
Molecule: non-coding RNA, 297 nt
Organism: Paramuricea clavata
Lineage: Eukaryota; Metazoa; Cnidaria; Anthozoa; Malacalcyonacea; Plexauridae
Source: the annotation of a GenBank genome assembly